AGAAUCAACGCUGGCGGCGUGCCUCAGACAUGCAAGUCGAACGCGAAAGUCCCCUUCGGGGGACAAGUAGAGUGGCGCACGGGUGAGUAACACGUAGGUAAUCUACCUUCAGAUGGGGAAUAACAACCGGAAACGGUUGCUAAUACCGCAUAAUGCAGCGGCACCUAAUGGUGACAGUUGUUAAAGCGGGGGAUCGAAAGACCUCGCGUCUGAAGAGGAGCCUGCGGCGGAUUAGCUAGUUGGUAGGGUAACGGCCUACCAAGGCGACGAUCC
RNAcentral lists this ribosomal RNA (273 nucleotides) under uncultured soil bacterium. RNAcentral describes it as "partial 16S ribosomal RNA". It matches the Rfam family "Bacterial small subunit ribosomal RNA", at positions 26 to 282 of the family's 1533-position model. The record is from RNAcentral.